GGUGCAUCAGUGCUCCUCCUCUGAAUGUGUCCGAACCAUCUGAGUCUUACUUCCCGCAUCUUGUCCUCCAUGGGGACCAUCUGAGUCGCUCACACUUGUUUCUUAAUGUACUGAUAUAUACUAGGUUCUCGAGGAAAAUAGCGUCCAUGAACGAGCUACAUAAACACCAUGAAUGCCAUUUCAAAUUAUGAAGAUUACGAGAAUGGUCCUGUACCCGAGGUGAGAAAGAUCAAACGUGCUAAAGUUGUUAUUGCUUAUCGUAGUCUGACUCAACAAAUAUCAAGUACCAAAGCGGGAAGCAGAAAAGGAGAAAGAUCAAACGUGCUAAAGUUGUUAUUGCUUAUCGUAGUCUGACUCAACAAAUAUCAAGUACCAAAGCGGGAAGCAGAAAAGGAGAAAGAUCAAACGUGCUAAAGUUGUUAUUGCUUAUCGUAGUCUGACUCAACAAAUAUCAAGUACCAAAGCGGGAAGCAGAAAAGGAGAAAGAUCAAACGUGCUAAAGUUGUUAUUGCUUAUCGUAGUCUGACUCAACAAAUAUCAAGUACCAAAGCGGGAAGCAGAAAAGGAGAAAGAUCAAACGUGCUAAAGUUGUUAUUGCUUAUCGUAGUCUGACUCAACAAAUAUCAAGUACCAAAGCGAGAAGCAGAAAGGGAGUGGACAUACUUCGUCUGUAAGAAACUCAAAAUUGGAGCCACGAACAACUCUGAACCUCAUACAAGUGGUAAAAAGGAAAUAUAUGGGGAAGCUGUCAUUAAGGUACUGCAUUAUGCAAGGAAUAUAGCGCAGGAGACUAGUAACAAGGUAUAUAUGAUAUAGAAAGUGAAACAACUAUUCUUCGAGCAGUAAGCCAGAGAUUAAGUAUUUGUUCAGAUAUCUGGCAUGUGAAGUUACCGAGAGGUUGUGAGUUCGAGUCUCCCAAGAGCAAGGUGGGAAGUUCUUGGAGGGAAGGAUGUCGGGGGUCUAUUU
Molecule: long non-coding RNA, 966 nt
Organism: Nicotiana tabacum (common tobacco)
Lineage: Eukaryota; Viridiplantae; Streptophyta; Magnoliopsida; Solanales; Solanaceae
Source: RefSeq, a predicted model, not a curated record